CCUGCGGAGGGAUCAUUAUAGAGUUCUAAAACUCCCAACCCAUGUGAACUUACCACUGUUGCCUCGGCGGAGCCUACCCUGUAGCACCUCGCGAGCUACCCUGUAGCACUCCGCCGGCGGAUUUUAAACUAUUGUUUUUUUAUGUUAUCUGAGCGUCUUAUUUUAAUAAGUCAAAACUUUCAACAACGGAUCUCUUGGUUCUGGCAUCGAUGAAGAACGCAGCGAAAUGCGAUAAGUAAUGUGAAUUGCAGAAUUCAGUGAAUCAUCGAAUCUUUGAACGCACAUUGCGCCCAUUAGUAUUCUAUUGGGCAUGCCUGUUCGAGCGUCAUUUCAACCCUUAAGCCUAGCUUAGUGUUGGGAACCUACUGUCCGGGUAGAGCUACCCUGUAGCACCUACCCUGUAGCUCCCGAAAAUCAACGGCGGUCUUGCAGUGUCCUCUGAGCGUAGUAAUUUUUUUCUCGCUUCUGUUAGGCGCUGUAAUUCUAGCCGCUAAACCCCCAAUUUUUAAUGGUUGACCUCGGAUCAGGUAGGAAUACCCGCUGAACUUAAGCAUAUCAAUAGCCGGGAGGAAUA
RNAcentral lists this ribosomal RNA (574 nucleotides) under Xylariales sp. M71. RNAcentral's name for it is "eukaryotic LSU rRNA". The stretch from base 175 to 328 matches the Rfam family "5.8S ribosomal RNA". Lineage: Eukaryota; Fungi; Ascomycota; Sordariomycetes; Xylariales; Xylariaceae. The record is from RNAcentral.